Molecule: transfer RNA, 77 nt
Filed under: Escherichia coli
Lineage: Bacteria; Pseudomonadati; Pseudomonadota; Gammaproteobacteria; Enterobacterales; Enterobacteriaceae
Description: tRNA-Ile
Rfam family: tRNA
About the family: Transfer RNA (tRNA) molecules are approximately 80 nucleotides in length.
Source: RNAcentral
GGCCCUUUAGCUCAGUGGUUAGAGCAGACGACUCAUAAUCGCUUGGUCGCUGGUUCAAGUCCAGCAGGGGGCCACCA